GCUGCCUCAGAAGGGGGGCAUCCCAGACACUGAGCAACAGUCCUCUGGGGAAGGAAAACACAGAGGUGAUCCAGAUGGAGCCCCCUGUCUUCAAGAGCCUCAGGCCAAAGGAGAGCCAUCAGCAAGUAGACGAUAUUUUUGAAGACAGUUUUAAGAUACACAUGGCCCACAGACACAUGAAGAAAUGCCCCACUUCACUUAUCAUUAGAGAAAUGCAAAUUAAAGCUACACUGAGAUUCCACCUCACACCUGAGAAAAUGGCUGACGUCAACAAACCAGGAAAGGACAGGUGUUGGCGAGGUUGUGGAGAAAAGGGACUCUGCUCCACUGCUGGUGGGAAUACAGACCGGGGCAGCCCCCUUAGAAGACUAUUAAACAAAUAAAAAUGGAAUUACCACUCUUAGGCAUUUAUCCAAAGGACACUGAAACACGAAUUCGAAGGGACAUAUGCACCCCUGUGUUCACAGCUGCACUAUUCACAACAGUCAAAGAGUGGAAGCAGCCUAAAUGUCCAUCCUCAGAUGACUGGAUGAAGAAGUCAUGGCACAUAGACUCCAUGGGAUAUUACUCUACAACCAUAAAAGACAAUUUUGUGUGCUUUGGGACAAAAAUGAAUGGAAUUGGCGGUGAUUACGCUCAUGGAAAUAAGAGAUGAAAGACAACUACUGGAUGAUUUCACUCAUGUGUGGAAUCUAGAGAGCGAAUACACAUGAACUUUCAAAAACAGAAGCAAACAAACUGUUUCUAAGACCUUGUGAGAACUCUAGUGGUUAUCUUUGGGAGGUGGGAGAGCAGGGGCACAGAACUUUGGUGGUGGGUGUGGUGUGGGACUAUAUCCUGAGAUCCUACAUUCUUGUAACCCACUAGUAAUCGCUAAUAAUAACAAUAAAAUAACCACACUACAGGGAAAAAGAAUUGGGUAAAGCGCCAAUCCCCAGACCGGCGUCACAGCCAGGGAGGUGGCCCAGUGGGAAGAGCACAGUGCCCACAUGUUAGGCCCUGGCUGACCCCUGGCUCGAAUAAGCCAGAGCUGAGUGAUGCUCUAGUCUCUUACUCUCUCUCAUCCAAUAAACAAAGAACUCUCUAAAGGGACUGAGACAGCUCACCCAGUAGAGUGUGUGUGGUUCUGAGUUCAAGUCCUAGCAUCGCAAGCCUGGGGGGAGGUCCAUGGAUGGUGGAGUGUUGCUGUGGUGACUCUCUGUGAAAUAAAAAGAAAGAAAAGGUUAGCCCUGCAGCACAGAAUCAUGCAAUCAUGAGGUCUUAUCUCCACAAAAAUAAAUAAAUAUAAACACUCCACCC
Molecule: long non-coding RNA, 1299 nt
Organism: Erinaceus europaeus (western European hedgehog)
Lineage: Eukaryota; Metazoa; Chordata; Mammalia; Eulipotyphla; Erinaceidae
Exons: 2
Source: RefSeq, a predicted model, not a curated record